GAACACGCUGAAGGAUUCAGGAGUGAAGCUGCUGAGAGCUCUUGAGAAGAAUCCAAACUAUCGACUGGAGACUCUGAGAUGCAGGAGAUGAUCACUGACAGAAUGUGAGCCAUCAGGACGCUGGUGGUGCAGAGAGGAGCAGCUGUGUCCUGAUGAUCCACAGAGGAUGAAGCAGCAGCUCCACUGUCACCGUCUCCACAGAAUUAACCCUGAGUGUUCCUCUGACGUGACAGAGUAUCAUCAGAGUUCAUGGACUGCUCUGCUGCUGCUCCGUCCUGCUACACUCUCUGCAGACACACUGACACUCUUCUACACUCUACCACCUCCUCCACCUGGAAUCUGCUUUCAUUUGCUCUUUUCUUUUUCUUUUCUUCACAAUAUCUGGACACAAACCAGUCACCACCAAAUUCUAUUAAUCAGAAUUAUACAUUUAAAGACUUUAGUAAAUAUAUUGAUUUAU
Non-coding RNA from Labrus bergylta (ballan wrasse), 460 nucleotides. The record is from RefSeq and is a predicted model, not a curated record. NCBI's taxonomy places the organism in Eukaryota, Metazoa, Chordata, Actinopteri, Labriformes, Labridae.